AAUAUUGCACAAUGGAGGAAACUCUGAUGCAGCGACGUCGCGUGAGUGAUGAAGGNUUNNGAGUCNUNAAGCUCUGUCCUUGGNNNNNAUAAUGACGGUCCCCAAGGAGGAAGCCCCGGCUAACUACGUGCCAGCAGCCGCGGUAAUACGUAGGGGGCGAGCGUUGUCCGGAAUUAUUGGGCGUAAAGGGUUCGCAGGCGGCCAGAUAAGUCAGAUGUGAAAUCUCACGGCUUAACCGUGAUAAGCAUUUGAAACUGUAUGGCUUGAGUUAAGGAGAGGAAAGUGGAAUUCCUAGUGUAGCGGUGAAAUGCGUAGAUAUUAGGAGGAAUACCAGUGGCGAAGGCGACUUUCUGGACUUAUACUGACGCUGAGGAACGAAAGCGUGGGGAGCAAACA
This 396-nucleotide ribosomal RNA is filed under the name uncultured bacterium. Its description in RNAcentral is "partial 16S ribosomal RNA". It matches the Rfam family "Bacterial small subunit ribosomal RNA", at positions 360 to 774 of the family's 1533-position model. The record is from RNAcentral.